UAACGCGAAGAACCUUACCUGGGUUUGACAUGGUGGGAAAAGCCACAGAGAUGUGGUGUCCUUUUGGGCCCAUCACAGGUGGUGCAUGGCUGUCGUCAGCUCGUGUCGUGAGAUGUUGGGUUAAGUCCCGCAACGAGCGCAACCCUUGUCCUAUGUUGCCAGCACGUAAUGGUGGGGACUCGUAGGAGACUGCCGGGGUCAACUCGGAGGAAGGUGGGGACGACGUCAAGUCAUCAUGCCCCUUAUGUCCAGGGCUGCAAACAUGCUACAAUGGCCGGUACAAAGGGCUGCGAGACCGCGAGGUUGAGCGAAUCCCAUAAAGCCGGUCUCAGUUCGGAUCGGAGUCUGCAACUCGACUCCGUGAAGCUGGAGUUGCUAGUAAUCCCGGAUCAGCAACGCCGGGGUGAAUACGUUCCCGGGUCUUGUACACACCGA
Molecule: ribosomal RNA, 435 nt
Filed under: uncultured bacterium
Lineage: Bacteria
Description: bacterial SSU rRNA
Rfam family: Bacterial small subunit ribosomal RNA
Source: RNAcentral